This 465-nucleotide ribosomal RNA is filed under the name Vreelandella stevensii. RNAcentral's name for it is "partial 16S ribosomal RNA". It matches the Rfam family "Bacterial small subunit ribosomal RNA", at positions 338 to 795 of the family's 1533-position model. The record is from RNAcentral. Lineage: Bacteria; Pseudomonadati; Pseudomonadota; Gammaproteobacteria; Oceanospirillales; Halomonadaceae.
CCUACGGGUGGCUGCAGUGGGGAAUAUUGGACAAUGGGGGCAACCCUGAUCCAGCCAUGCCGCGUGUGUGAAGAAGGCCCUCGGGUUGUAAAGCACUUUCAGUGAGGAAGAACGCCUGGUGGUUAAUACCCAUCAGGAAAGACAUCACUCACAGAAGAAGCACCGGCUAACUCCGUGCCAGCAGCCGCGGUAAUACGGAGGGUGCGAGCGUUAAUCGGAAUUACUGGGCGUAAAGCGCGCGUAGGUGGCUUGAUAAGCCGGUUGUGAAAGCCCCGGGCUCAACCUGGGAACGGCAUCCGGAACUGUCAAGCUAGAGUGCAGGAGAGGAAGGUAGAAUUCCCGGUGUAGCGGUGAAAUGCGUAGAGAUCGGGAGGAGUACCAGUGGCGAAGGCGGCCUUCUGGACUGACACUGACACUGAGGUGCGAAAGCGUGGGUAGCAAACAGGAUUAGAUACCCUUGUAGUC